Vicugna pacos (alpaca) is the source of this 5035-nucleotide non-coding RNA. The record is from RefSeq and is a predicted model, not a curated record. NCBI's taxonomy places the organism in Eukaryota, Metazoa, Chordata, Mammalia, Artiodactyla, Camelidae.
GGCGGGCGGCGGGCCGAGGGUGGCUUCCUGCCCAGACGUCAGCACCGCCCCCCCAGACCUGAGAAGGCCUGUCCACCGAGGAGGAGCGGGGCUUUUCUCUACCGCCACCUCCGCGUCCUCCCUCUCGGCCCUCGGAGUUCUCCCGGGCUACCUCCCAUUUCCCCUGGGGUUGGGAGCCCGCGGGGCGCGCUCGGCUCGCCGGCUCCUGCUCCUCCUCCAGCCUGCGCCUCGAGCGGCCUCCGAGACCUCGCCAGGCGUGGCGGGCUGGGCCAGCACCCCGCGUGCGAGACUGUUUCCCGUGGCCCCAAUGCCCCGGCGAGAAGAGUGCCGUGAGUGCCCGUGAUUGGAGCUGUGGAAGUGUCCCCUGGUGGCGAGUGCGGCCGAGACACGGGUUACUGUUAAGUUUUCUGCGCGCAGGUUGCAAGGGCCGUGUGAGUCAGGUAUAAUUUGGCCUCCUGAGAUUCUGUCUUAGCAAGAAGGAAGUGGAAAAUACUCUUGGAAAGAAAACUAAGACAAUAAGGAAGCCAGAACUUACUUUUACAUGGUUGUCAGCUCAUUUACCAAUAUGGACACUUUUCCCACCAUUUUUCCUCCCGGUGGAGACAGUGGGCUGACAAGUUCUCAAUCUGAGUUCCAAAAAAUGUUAAUUGAUGAACGAUUACGAUGUGAGCAUCAUAAAACUAAUUAUCAGACUCUGAAAACUGAACACACAAGGUUGCAAGAUGAAUACAUAAAGUUACAGAAUGAACUCAAGCGCCUGUUAAAUGAAAAGCAAACUCACCAGGAAAAAUUUCAGCAGCUGCUUGAAGAGCUAAGAGGUGAAUUAGUAGAGAAAACUAAAGUCUUGGAAGAAAUGAAGCUGCAGGUAUUAACUCCACAGAAGUUGGAAUUGUUACGAGCCCAAAUACAACAAGAACUAGAAACCCCAAUGAGAGAACGUUUUAGGAACCUGGAUGAAGAAGUGGAAAAGUAUAGAGCUGGGUAUAAUAAGCUUCGCUAUGAACAUACAUUUCUCAAAUCAGAAUUUGAACACCAGAAAGAAAAAUUUGCACGUAUUUUAGAAGAAGAAAAAAUAAAAUAUGAAUCAGAGAUUGCAAGACUGGAGAAGGAUAAAGAACUACAUAACCAACUGUUUAGUGUUGAUCCCACAAGAGACAGCAAACAAAUGGAGCAACUUGUUCGAGAAAAAGUCCAUUUGUGUCAGAAAUUAAAAGGUUUACAGGCUGAGGUAGAAGAAUUAAGAGCUGAAAAAGAGAAUUCUGGUGCUCAGGUAGAAAGUGCCCAAAGAAUUCAGGUGCGGCAGUUGGCUGAGAUGCAGACUACAGUCAGAUCCCUGGAGGCUGAAAAACAGUCAGCUAAACUACAGGCUGAACGCUUAGAAAAAGAGCUACAAUCAAGCAAUGAACAAAACACUACUUUAAUUAGUAAAUUGCAUAAAGCUGAACGGGAAAUAAAUACUUUGACCAGUAAAGUAAAAGAACUUAAACAUUCAAGCAAGCUAGAAAUAACAGACAUCAGACUGGAGGCAGCAAGAGCUAAGAGUGAGCUAGAAAGAGAAAGGAAUAAAAUUCAAAGUGAACUGGAUGGAUUGCAGUCAGACAAUGAAAUUCUCAAAUCGGCUGUUGAACACCACAAAGUACUCUUAGUUGAAAAGGAUCGUGAAUUAAUACGUAAAGUACAAGCUGCCAGAGAUGAAGGUUAUCAAAAACUUGUGGUAUUACAAGAUGAAAAGCUAGAACUUGAGAGCAGAUUAGCGGAUUUAGAGAAAAUGAAAGUGGAACAUGAUGUUUGGAGGCAGUCUGAAAGGGAUCAAUGUGAAGAGAAACUGCGUGCUUCACAGAUGGCUGAAGAGUCGGCUAGAAGGGAACUUCAGAGUAUUAGGACAUUGGAAGAGAGGCAAAUACAGUGGAUGGAAGAGAAGCAUAAGCUUCAUGAACGUAUCACUGACAGAGAAGAGAGGUAUAAUCAAGCUAAAGAGAAACUGCAGCGAGCUGCAAUUGCCCAGAAAAAGAGAAAAUCUCUUCAUGAAAACAAAUUGAAGAGACUGCAAGAGAAGGUAGAAGUCUUGGAGGCAAAGAGAGAAGAAUUGGAAACAGAAAAUCAGGUGUUAAAUAGACAAAAUGUUCCAUUUGAAGAAUAUACAAGGCUUCAAAAAAGACUAAAGGAUAUACAGAGAAGACAUAAUGAGUUUCGAAGUUUAAUUUUGGUUCCUAACCUACCUCCAACAGCAUCCAUCAAUCCUGUUAGCUUUCAGUCAUCAACUGUGAUUCCAGGCAUGGAAUUGUCCUUUUCUCCUCAUAUGCAGGAGGAGCAACAUCAAAGGGAACUCUCUCUACUUCGCAAAAGACUAGAAGAACUAGAAACAACACAAAGAAAACAACUAGAGGAACUUGGAUCUCCUGGGGAAUAAUGUUCUUGGAGAGAAGGCAGAUCAAAAGGGAUGAAAUCACUGACUCAAUAAAGCUUGAAGUUUUAACGUACGUGGCAUUUACAUAUUUUAUUACUGUUUGCCAAAACAUUUGAAUGUGCCUCAAGAAAAGGUAUCAGCUACAUGCUGAAUUGCAUGAGUGUCAGAAUUUGAGGGUUAUACUAAUGACAAGUGAAGCAUUAAAAUAGCUUCAGAGAUAUUUAGAAUAUUAUUGACAACCCUUGGGGAAUGUAAAAUAAAUGAAAAAAUAAAAAGAACUAAUUAGGGGAUCAAGUUUUUAAAAUGGUUUUAUUUUGUUGAUUUUUUUUUUUUUUUUUUUGCAUUUUGCCUGAAAUAUACCCAUGUUAAAUUUCCUCUUCCUCCUCCUUGAGAUGCUUGGCGAUAACAGGAGGCAUUCUGCUGGAAUAACUUCACGUCAAGAAGGCAAAGCUCAAGUCUGUCAGACCAUUCCAAGCACAGCAAGCAUUCCUGAGCAGCCAACAUGCAGGCAAGUAUUUCUUCUUAAAUGCAGCAAGCAGGGGCAUCCUGGUCAAAGGAAGUAUUUCCCGCCCCGCCCCGCCCCUCCCCAGUGCUUCCCUUCUAACCCCUGACCCCUGAAAGAGGGAUGCUUAAGAGGGAUGCUUAUCAUGUUUAAGGAACUCAUUGCCUCUACCCUACCUUAGCGCUUCACUUGAUCUUCAAGUAGCAAAUGGAAUUGGUGAGCUAUUCUCACCAUUGACAUGGAUAGCCUGUCCCAGCAUGACUGAGUGGGGGGAAUCAGGGAAGGGGGAAUUAACAUAUAUUUGGAAACAGAGCAUCUGAUGACUGUGUCUGUGUGAAUUCCCAAAGAAAAAAACCCAGAUUAAGGAGAAUUAAUCAUAAAGGAGCAUGGUUUAUUGAAAUAGUUGCUUAAGUUAGAAAUAUGUCAUACUUUAACUAUUGAAUACAGAAUCUAGGCGAUUUAACAAGCUUAGCUUUCAUUUUAGCAGAUAACAAUCAAGCAUAAGCUGGCCCCUUUUAGCAGGACCACUACUUACUCAUCAAAGUUAACUGUGUCAAUGUGGCUGUAGACCCCAUGAACUCACACGUAAAUGGCUGGUCCGAAGGUGGGCAGCAUGAUAGAACUAUGAGGGGUGGCCACGUGCAGGGUCUGGCUUAGUGCCAGGAUCCCCUAUCUCAGACAGGCUUCCCUUUCUGGCCGCUUGGGAUACCAGAGCUGUUCUGAGACCUACAGAAUCCUUUAUAACCAAAUUCUGAUGACUGAUUCAGAUUAAUUUCUAAAAAUGUUAUUUAAAAUCUUACCUCAUCAAAAUAUUUUACGAUGUAUUUGUAGAUUUCUGUCAAGGCCACUUCUUCAUUAAAUUCAUUUUCAUGUUUCUUAAAAGAAAGAAAAGCCUUACUGAGAGAUUCUGAAAAGGUGGUGGUUGUUUUUUAAAGUAUCCAAAUAUUAUCUACUUUCUAACAAUACCUUAGAUUCCUGAGUUAAGAAUUCUUCCAUCUCUGAAGAUGACAAUGGAGGCAAGUCCUUGAUUGCUUUGUAGUAAGAUUUUACUUCCUCUUUGUAGGUUGGGAUAUCCUUGGCAUAGAGAAGUUUAUUAGUUGGUGCUUCCUGAAAAACAGCAACCACCACCAAGAGCUUUUUAAAAAACAUGGAGAAUAUAUAACAGUACCAGUGUAGCUGACCAUCACUAUUAUUACCCUCCUUGCAACAAGGCUUCUUCAUGCAGUAGGCCUUCAUAAAUGUUAACUGAAUGACUGACUGCUAUCCAGAGAGUUCUGGUCCAGGUGAUACCAGAUAAUGGUUACCAGUGAGGACGUCUCAUCAGCUCACCUACCUCUUGUCACCCACCUCGGUGCUGUCCCCUGGCCUAAGCCACCAUCAUCUCCCAGCUCCCAACAGUUAAUUGUCCGCAACCACCAGCAAUCCUGACAGAAUCCGAUGCUGUCCCUCUGGCUCUCCAUCCCUCUCUGGAUAAAACCCCUGCAUGAUCUACUCUUCACCUUACUUGUUCCAGCUCCACCAGCCUCUCCGCUAUUCUGCGUGCAUACCAGGCCAGAUUGUGCCUCAGAACUCUGCUUUUGUCCAUCUUCUUGAAACUGUCUUGGUUUAUACGCUUUCAAGACCUGACCACCCUGUCCUUGUCACUUUCUAUCCUUUUUCCCCCCUCCCUGCACUGCACUAAUCACCUUCUAAUAUACUACCAUUUACCAAUUAAAAUCCAGGCUCUGUGAGAACAUGGAUUUCUGUUUAGUUUAUUACUGCAUCUCCAGCACCUAACGGUACUUGGCACACAGCACUCAAAUAAAUAAUCUAAAUAUGAAUGUGGGAGUCAGUCCUUCCAUUUGCUUUUUUCUCAGCUCUGGCUUAGCUAAUUACCUCCAUCAUAUAGGCUCUGGGCCUCUCAGUAGCUCUGGAACUUUUGCUUUUAAUACUUAUUUAAAACAGUCUGGCUAACCUUAAUGCUGAGAAGGGCUUGUGCCUACACUGGGAAGUUUUGUUACAUUGUAAUUCUGAGUCUUACUCAGCUUAUGCACAAAGUAUUGCGAUUAGAGGUAAUGAGCUAUGUUUCUUUACUAAGGAGAAAUUUAGAAUAAAUUUGGAUGCCUUGCCUCAGCUUAAGGUAAAGU